This 60-nucleotide ribosomal RNA is filed under the name uncultured organism. RNAcentral describes it as "partial 16S ribosomal RNA". The record is from RNAcentral.
UGGUCUUGACAUCCUGGGAAUCCCGUAGAGAUAUGGGAGUGCCGCAAGGAACCCAGAGAC